RNAcentral lists this ribosomal RNA (497 nucleotides) under uncultured bacterium. Its description in RNAcentral is "partial 16S ribosomal RNA". It matches the Rfam family "Bacterial small subunit ribosomal RNA", at positions 28 to 507 of the family's 1533-position model. The record is from RNAcentral.
GAUGAACGCUGGCGGCGUGCCUAAUACAUGCAAGUCGAGCGAACGGACGAGAAGCUUGCUUUUCUGAUGUUAGCGGCGGACGGGUGAGUAACACGUGGAUAACCUACCUAUAAGACUGGGAUAACUUCGGGAAACCGGAGCUAAUACCGGAUAAUAUUUUGAACCGCAUGGUUCAAAAGUGAAAGACGGUCUUGCUGUCACUUAUAGAUGGAUCCGCGCUGCAUUAGCUAGUUGGUAAGGUAACGGCUUACCAAGGCAACGAUGCAUAGCCGACAUGAGAGGGUGAUCGGCCACACUGGAACUGAGACACGGUCCAGACUCCUACGGGAGGCAGCAGUAGGGAAUCUUCCGCAAUGGGCGAAAGCCUGACGGAGCAACGCCGCGUGAGUGAUGAAGGUCUUCGGAUCGUAAAACUCUGUUAUUAGGGAAGAACAUAUGUGUAAGUAACUGUGCACAUCUUGACGGUACCUAAUCAGAAAGCCACGGCUAACUACGUG